CUCCAGGUUCUCCUCCCCCUUGGGUUGUCCCCAACCCUUGGUGGCCCCAUCUCCUGGUUGUCCCCACCCCUUGGUGGCCCCAUCUCCAGGUUCUCCACCCCCUUGGUGGCCCCAUCUCCACGUUGUCCCCACCCCAAGUUCUCCAGGUUGGCCCCAUCCUUGAUGUCCCUCAACCCCAGGUUCUCCAGGUUGUCCCCACCCCUUGGGUUGUCUCCAACCCUUGGUGGCCCCAUCUCCAGGUUGUCCCCACCCCCUGGUGGCCCCAUCUUCAGGUUCUCCCCAUCUCCAGGUUCUCCCCAUCCUUGGUGGGCCUCCAUUUCCACGUUCUCCACCCUCUUGGUGGCCCCACCUUCUUGGUGGCAUCACCCUCGGGUUGUCCCCACCCCCUGGUGGCCCCAUCUCCACGUUGUCCCCACCCCAAGUUCUCCAGGUUGGCCCCAUCCUUGAUGUCCCUCAACCCCAAGUUCUCCAGGUUCUUCCCAUCCUUGAUGUCCCUCAAGCCCAGGUUCUCCAGGUUGUCCCCACCCCUUGGGUUGUCCCCAACCCUUGGUGGCCCCAUCUCCAGGUUGUCCCCAACCCCUUGGGUUGUCCCCACCCCUUGGUGGCCCCAUCUCAUCUCCACGUUGUCCCCAGGGCAGCGACGCGGAGGUUGGAGAGUCCGAGUCGGAGAUGGAGGACGAGACCUUCAACCCCUCGGAGGAGGACUACGAGGAGGAGGAGGAGGACAGCGACGAAGACUACUCCUCUGAGGCCGAGGAGUCAGGUAUGUCCCCGAGGAGGGGUGGCCUGGACCUCCAGAGGCCACCGUGUCCUCCUGGAGGCCACCAGAAGCCCGGGGAGGUCACCAGAAGUCCAUGGAGGCCACCACGUCCUCAAGGAGUCCCACCAAAACCCCUGGGAGAUAGCACGUCCCCAUUGAGUCCCACCAAAAACCCCUGGGAGAUACCUCCCACCUCCAUUUGGAGGCCACCACGUCCCCAAGGAGGGUGGCCCGUCCCUCCAGAGGCCACCGUGUCCUCCUGGAGGCCACUAGAAGUCCAUGGAGGCCACCAGAACCUCUUGGAGGCCACCACAUCCUCAUGGAGUCCCACCAGAAACCCCUGGGAGAUACCUCCCACCUCCUUUUGGAGGCCACCACCUCCCCCCAGGUCCCCACAGGGGCCACCCCGACCCACAGGGGGCCACCCCGACCCCUUGGUGGCCACCACGUCCUCAUGGAGUCCCACCAAAACCCCUGGGAGAUACCACGUCCUCAUGGAGUUCCACCAAAAACCCCUGGGAGAUACCCCCCACCUCCUUUUGGAGGCCACCACCUCUUUUUGGAGGCCACCACCUGCCCCCCCGUCCCCACGGGGGCCACCCCGACCCCACAGGUGACCCCCAAGUCCCCCCACGGGUUGUCCCCACCCCCUUUUUGUCCCCCUCCCCCCAUGGUAGACUACUCCAAGGAGUCCCUGGGGAGCGAGGAGGAGAGCGGCAAAGACUGGGACGAACUGGAGGAAGAAGCUCGAAAAGGUGGGUCCACGGUGGGGGGGGAGGGGGCACGAGGACCCCCCAAAAUUGGGGGAGGGGACCUC
RNAcentral lists this long non-coding RNA (1577 nucleotides) under Calidris pugnax (ruff). Its description in RNAcentral is "lncRNA (ENSCPUG00000002222.1)". Lineage: Eukaryota; Metazoa; Chordata; Aves; Charadriiformes; Scolopacidae. The record is from RNAcentral.